Molecule: ribosomal RNA, 378 nt
Filed under: Salmonella enterica subsp. enterica serovar Infantis
Lineage: Bacteria; Pseudomonadati; Pseudomonadota; Gammaproteobacteria; Enterobacterales; Enterobacteriaceae
Also listed under: 1 other name
Description: partial 23S ribosomal RNA
Rfam family: Bacterial large subunit ribosomal RNA
Source: RNAcentral
CCAAGGGUAUGGCUGUUCGCCAUUUAAAGUGGUACGCGAGCUGGGUUUAGAACGUCGUGAGACAGUUCGGUCCCUAUCUGCCGUGGGCGCUGGAGAACUGAGGGGGGCUGCUCCUAGUACGAGAGGACCGGAGUGGACGCAUCACUGGUGUUCGGGUUGUCAUGCCAAUGGCACUGCCCGGUAGCUAAAUGCGGAAGAGAUAAGUGCUGAAAGCAUCUAAGCACGAAACUUGCCCCGAGAUGAGUUCUCCCUGAGACUUUAAGUCUCCUGAAGGAACGUUGAAGACGACGACGUUGAUAGGCCGGGUGUGUAAGCGCAGCGAUGCGUUGAGCUAACCGGUACUAAUGAACCGUGAGGCUUAACCUUACAACGCCGAAG